UAAUUGAAAGUUUUCUCGCAUAUAACGAUGCUCAAAUGCAAAGAGAGGGAGACAAAGAUCAAUUUGUCGACCGAGGUUCAUCGUCGUACCGCUUGUGUCCGCACGAUGGGGUUCUACUUCGCUAGUGAGGGCUAUAGCUUCUGCUGCAGCUUUGGCAUCUUGCCAUUAGCGCAAAACUUUGAGUGAAUUGAGAAAGAUAGAGGAAACCUUACAGAUCUGCCGCCGCCAUUUUCAGAUCUUCCAUCGCCAUUUUCAAAUCUGCGAAUUUCCACAUUUCAGUCCACCAUCCUCGGCUUUCAGAUGUUUAUCUCUGUCUGGAAUAAAUGCAAUUCGCGAAGGUUGCUCUUGAGAGUAUUGGAAGGGAACAAGCCUAAAAGUGAGAAUGAGCGAGAGUGAGAAGAGUGGAGAGAGAAGGGGUAAGCGCAGGUGUCUACACGGAGCAACGAUGGAACCCCUACCAGAAGGAAGGAGCGGGUCUUUCAAAAGAGGAGGGAGAUUUAAUAGGGAAGAAUGUAAAGAAAAUGCAAGAACUGCAACCAUCCGGGGGGGGGGUGGGUAGCCCCAUGGAAGAUGCUGAAAAAGUUAAAGGCGUAUCAGAAAAGGAGAACACUGGAACAAAGAACUAGGGAACAUGGCGAACCCCAAUCUCGUAUAAGGAGAAAUUGAUGGGGGCAGAGGAAACGCAAUAUACUACAGAUUUUGACGAAGACUAGAAAGAAUGGAUGAAGGAGGAAAAGGAGGAUAUGCUUGUACCUAAUGAGAGGACCAGAAGAAGAUUAUGGAGAGCCUACCAACGAUUAGUAUGUCAGAUGAUAGAUUAAACAGUCUGUACAUACCAUUGAGGAUGCCAUUGUCUUUACCCUUCUAGGAAAAAGUAUGAUUCUCAAGGUGAUGAGAGAUAGGGUGAUUUGGAUGUUGAAGACAUAAUUUUGAACUGAUUGAUUUGCCAAACAACUAUUUUGCUUUCAGGCUUUGGUUUUGGUCAGGAUUCAAGCGGCUUCAAAUAAUUUACAUUCAGACGUGUGGGAAGUCGAGCUGAGAAUACUUGUGUAUUUAUUAAUAGAUCUUUGUCACAAUAGACAUUUCUUUGCACUUUUUUUUUUUUUGUAAAUAGUUUACAUUUAUAUAUGCUUGAAUAAUUUGGAGUUGUAAAUAACUUUUGUAGUAGUGAUUAUAUUGUUACUGGGAAAUAAUGUUGGAUUUUGAAAUUGAUUCAAUGUAUAUGAGAUGCUUUUGAAAUUUUAUUGCUAAUUUGUUGCUAGAACCUAUUUUUGUAGUGUAUAAUGUAGAGGGCUGCUAGAAAUGUAGCCCCUAUAUUUAAAAAAAAAAAAACACAAAUAUAUAGUGGUUAUUUGGAAAUGCCAGUUAGAUGGUUCAAUCUUUAGACUAUAUAGCGAUUAUUUCAAAAUAAUUGCUAUAUAUACUCCCAAUUAAAUAAUUGUUACAUAUACCCCCAAUAUAUAGUAGUUAUUUUAAAAUAACCGCUAUAUAUACCCCAAUAAAAUAACCGCUAUAUAUUGCUAAUAUACCCCAAAUAUAUAGUGGUUAAAAACUGCUAUAUAUAAACAAAAAUAACUGUUAUAUAUACAUUUUUUUUGUAGUUGUGGUGGGAUAAAUUCAAGGAAGGUAUGGGUAAGAACAUCUAUAAUGGGAUAAAUACUUCCUUCUGGUUCAAAAAUUGGUCAGAAAUGAGUGUGUCACUCUUGGAACUUAUAACAAGUAGGGAAGGCUUGGUUGACAAAGAUGAAUUCGUAGCUGAUUUUGUGGGUCAAAGAGGAAAAUGGGAUACUUUCAAAUUAGGAUGCUAAUUCCAUCCUAAUAUAAUUGCUCGGUUGACUAGUGCUCAUUCACGGAGAGAGGAGAGGAUAAAUACUUUUGGAAGCUUGCUACUAACGACUUUUUUAUCGUUAAAUCUGCUUACAAUUUUAUAGAUGCAGGUACUCGAAGGAAUGAAGAUAACAUUUGGAAGAUUCUUUGGCGGUGGCCUAUUGCAGAGAAAAUCAAAUCUUUCAUGUGGUUUUUCUCACAUGGACGUACACACUCAAUGGCACUACGCAGCAGCAGGGGUCUUAGAAUAUAGCAAAAUUGUGCUUUUCGGACGCAACACGUUGGAAGAUGACAUGCUCCUAAUCAGAGAGUACCCUAAUGUGAUAGAACGUUGGAGGGCAGUGUUGAAAAGCGAGCACCUGAACUUUUUUCUCAACCUUCGAGGCGCCGAAUGGGUAAAAUGGAAUUUAAUACAUGAUAUUGGCAAAGAUUACACUAGGAAGCUCCCUUGGAAUAUUCUAUUUGGGUAUUUGUUGGGAUAUAUGGAUCUCUAGAUGUAGGAAAGCCUUUGAUUAUGAUACUCACGAAGACAGAACUAAUGCUCGAAACUUUUUCUUUCAUGUUGUUGCUGAUUUUGUUUUAAUUAGAAAGGCUGCUACUUUGUGCUAUGAGCGAAAUAGUAGUCGGGAAAAAGUUUAUCAGAAGUGUAUGUCAAACUUGAAGUGGAUGGUAUAGUGAGUACGAAUGGCACUUUGUGUUGUGGAGGAAUAAUUUUGGAUGUGAAUGGAAAAUGGGAAAGGGGCUUUUGUUGUAAGUUAUUAUCUAUUCUUCUAGCCAUUGCAGAAAUUCUUUCUAUUUAUCAUGGUCUCAACUUGUGUUGGAAUUUUGGGCUCAGGAAUAUUCAGAUCUUUUCAUAUUGCAUUGAAGCCAUCAACAUAACAAGAAGGGGAUGCAAUGACAAUUACCCUUUCAAGCACAUUAUUGCUGAUACUAGGAUGCUGUUAUGUAAAGGCUGAAAUGUUACGUUCUCUCAUCUUUUCAAGGAGGAAAUAUUUAGGCUGAUAGAUUAGCUAAAUUUUCUUACAUGUUUGAUAGUAAUUUUUAUAUCUUUGAUCAUCCUCUAACACUUCUACAAGAUUUGGGGAAUGAUGAGGGAUCCCCCUAUUGUUGAACAUGAUAUAUUGCAAGCUAUUUAAAUUUUAAUUCAUGCU
This is a long non-coding RNA of Prosopis cineraria, 2978 nucleotides long. RefSeq lists it as uncharacterized. The transcript is spliced from 2 exons. The record is from RefSeq and is a predicted model, not a curated record. NCBI's taxonomy places the organism in Eukaryota, Viridiplantae, Streptophyta, Magnoliopsida, Fabales, Fabaceae.